Molecule: ribosomal RNA, 353 nt
Filed under: Salmonella enterica subsp. enterica serovar Typhimurium var. 5- str. CFSAN004345
Lineage: Bacteria; Pseudomonadati; Pseudomonadota; Gammaproteobacteria; Enterobacterales; Enterobacteriaceae
Description: bacterial LSU rRNA
Rfam family: Bacterial large subunit ribosomal RNA
Source: RNAcentral
UGACUGACCGAUAGUGAACCAGUACCGUGAGGGAAAGGCGAAAAGAACCCCGGCGAGGGGAGUGAAAAAGAACCUGAAACCGUGUACGUACAAGCAGUGGGAGCACCCUUUGGGGUGUGACUGCGUACCUUUUGUAUAAUGGGUCAGCGACUUAUAUUCUGUAGCAAGGUUAACCGUAUAGGGGAGCCGGAGGGAAACCGAGUCUUAAUUGGGCGUUAAGUUGCAGGGUAUAGACCCGAAACCCGGUGAUCUAGCCAUGGGCAGGUUGAAGGUUGGGUAACACUAACUGGAGGACCGAACCGACUAAUGUUGAAAAAUUAGCGGAUGACCUGUGGCUGGGGGUGAAAGGCCAA